CCCCUUCCCCGACCCCCCUGGGAAAGCCGGGGGCCGUUGGCAGCUCGCCCGCCCUGGCCCCGCUGUGGGGGUGGUUCUGAAAGCCCCUGCUCCUGGAGUCCUGUGAUGAGGGGAGGCUCUCCGCUUUCAUUGCAAAAGGGGGUCUGGCCCUGGGGCGGCUGAGACAAGCUGGGGCAGGUGACCCUUGAAGGCUCAAAAGGGAGACACCAAGUUACUUGUUUCACUUAUAGCUUGUUUCUUGUUUUAAAUCUCAUUAUUUUGGAGCCUAAGAGUGCCCCUUCUGCUUCUGCUAGUCUUUGCAAUGAGGAGCAAAAAGCAGCAGUGACUGGUCUCCACAGCACCAUUUAUAACUCUUGUACAACCUACAUAGUCUGACAUCUGAAUGAAAAUAAGAUCUACAGUUUCAGAAUGUGGAGAAGGGUGCAGUUUCCCUGGCAUGAAAUAUCUGAUAAAUUUUCAGAGACACAAGGAUUGAUGGUGAAAAUACACCAGAAAUAACCACUUUGCGAGUUAUCUCAGAUUUGAAAAAUUAACAAAGGUACCUUUGUAAUGAAGAGUUACAGCCCCAGCCAGGUGCAAGGAGGAUGAAAGCAGGCAGAGGCACCCAGUGUCCAACUACUGGAAAACAUCCUAAGCCAGCAUUGCAGUGAACCCAAUUAUAUAAAAAUUGCCUCAUUACUGAGACUACGACUCAUUACUUGAGACUACUAAUAGUCUCAAGCAUGGAAGGGAUGGAGACUAAGUUAUCUUUUCAGUCUUAGAGGUGGCCCUUCCAGAACAUGAUACACACAAAUGUGGAGAAACUUGUACUGCUGUUGUCCAUGCCGUAUGUGUGCUAUGAAUAAAUAGAGACAUGCAAUUUACUAAGGCUGCUGAGCUAGAACUUUCACAAGAAAUGAAUUCACUGUAGAAAAUAUUGGUUAUAAAUUGUAUAACUUCCCAAGAAUUGGGAAAUUAGCAUGUGCAAUACGGUAUAUGUAAUCAGAUAUUGCUACAGAGGACUAAGUCUACAUACAGUAUCGUUUAUAAAUCAUGCCCAAAAAAUGUGGGGAGAGUGGGAGGAACGAUGACAUAGCUGACCUUUUAUCAUUUUCAAUGGAAAAUUGUUUGGCAACUUUCAUUGUCCAGGCAAAUUCAGACAGACGAAAGGGUCGACUAAGCAAUGAUUAUAUAUGUACAUAAAUUAAAAUAAAUUACUGAAAGCUUUCAUGUUUUAUCUGUUAAAAUGCUUCUGUGACUUCGGCUUAAAAGAAGGAAGAGCUUUAGAAGGAUCAGAAGAGAGUGUCCCAUGGGAAUAAAAUUACCAGUGGAAAUAACAAUUUGUUUUUUGAACUUCACAGGGAAACAAAGGUUUGAUACAGAUGCAAUAACCAUAUCUCUGCUGCAGGAUUUUUUAAUAACCAAAGGCAGAGGAGUUGUGGCUUUGCAUGUAAUGGCAACUUUUGGAUCAUUCAUAACUUUUUCCCACAAGCAGCUUAUUUCAAACAACAGUAACCUACCAAUGCUAUUCUAAGCAGAACUAGUUAAUAGUUUCCUGUUAGCAAAACACAAGUGGUGGUGUGUGAGGGUUGAUUUCUUCAUAUUCUAGAAAAGAGCUAAACUGUGUUAUCUAUAUUCUGAUUUGUGAGGGUCCCUCCUCCCCUAAUAUCCAUUUAAACCAAGCAGUGUUGUUAGGAGUCUCUUUCUUUUUCUAGUGUUUGGCCAAAUAUCACUUCAUUGCCCUCAGGAAGUGUGAAAUUAGUCCAGUGCAUUUCAUCAGUAGGCCUUGAUCAGUAGGGACUCCAGAAUGUUGAGGGGCCGUCUGUAUACACCCAUCUCAAAGAUAAAGUAGAAGACUUGCACAGAAUUCAGCCACCUCGGGGCAUUCCCAUCAGAUAUGAAGGGAAAAUGCUGCUGCUUCUACAUUCCUUCCAGAAAGCAUGUAAAUAAUCAACAGAAUUUUUUUAAGCAAGAGGAAAUAAUGUAUCAGCGGAUCAUCAUGUAGCUGAGUUCCAUUACAUUAAGUACCUGGACAAAAAGGUCACCUACACGCUUUUGAAAACUUAACCCACAGGGAGCAUGUAUGUGUAGUUCUAAAGUACUAUUUAUACUGUCAGCUCUCUCAUCAGAAACACACUUUGAAGUUAGAGGACAUCUUUCACAAGCAUUAAAUUCAGUCCCAUGUUUGGGAGCUAGUGAGUGCUGGCUGUGGGCUCUCUCCACACACAUUCCCAAAUUGUGUUUAAAUUGGAAUUUCAGUACAAAUAUAAAAUAAACAUGUUAUUGACAAAUGCAGAUCUCAAUUAAAAUGAGAGCUUAUCCAUAUAAAUCUGAGUGGGAGAAUGGUCUGGGCAUUUGGGAAUGCAUAAGUGUCAAUGACCUCCAAAAGGGGACACCAAGUACCUGGCCUUGUCAGAGUUAAUAGAUUAUUUUUUCCAUUUAGGCUAUAAACACCAUGUUUCUUGUUCAAUCCAAUAAUUAAGAGUCAUCAUAUUAACUACCAGCAUAACAACUCAGCAUGUUUAUACAUUUAGUGUAAGCCAAUAUUUUAAGGAUUUCUUUUAAGGAUUCCAUAACUGAUAAAUUGUACUUUUCUCUUAUUAUUCUACUAAUAUGUUCCCAUAUUUUCUGUAUUGCAGGUAGUUCUCACAUUGCAGGGCAAGCUGAUGUUUCUACUGUAUAGCAUUUGGGACAUUUAAACGUAGCUAUUCUGGGGUAUAAUUUAGGACAAAUCAAUCCUUUGUUUCCACAUGCAGUUGUUAUGGGGCUUAUUUUGUUACAAGUGGCUGCUUUAUAUAUGUUGGAUGUGCCCUGGUUCUAUUCUUCAGCAGUGAUUUCAAUUUACUUUUCAUUUCGCAGUUUUCCCCAUACCACUGAGGCAAUAUGUUGGAUAAUCAUCUCUUAGUAGUUUAUAUAACAUCUGCUAGUCAAUUUAGAAGUGAUGGAGCCGCACAGCAUCAUUUCUUCAAAGAGUGAGAAGUGGUUAUUUUUCCUUUUUUGGUAAAGAUGCAGUGAUGGGAAGGCAAUGCAAACUGCCCUGAUGGAGAGGCACUGCAAUGAUUCAAUCUCUAGUGCUCCCUUCCAGGAAGAUGUGUAGAGCAAGAAGAUAAGCUCUGUCUGUCUUGUAUCAGUUUAGAUGGGAUUCGGGCUUGACAUGAGGGCCUUGCAGGUGGGGUCUAGGGCAUGGUUAAAAUGGAGAUAUUUAUGUGCACUAUGUACUCUACAGACAUAAAUAAGAUUCAGUCCCUGCCCCCAAAGAUCUUACAGCCUAAGGGGUUGAUACUCGGGUAAUUAAGUUUAUGCAUGUCAGUAGUCCCACUAAACAUGGGGCCUAAAGAAGACAUGACAGAACACGGAAAGACAAUCAAAAAGUAAGGCACAGAGGUUACUCAUACAAGCCCACAGACUAGAUCCUAUAUGUACCCCAGCUGUUUUGGAGCUCUGGAACAAAAGUAACCUCAUUCUCUCCCCUGAAAGAAGCAUCUUCUUUAGCUGCUUCUAAAAAUUCCUGCUGUGAUUUAACAGACAAUAAAAAGCGAUUCUCUGGUUGGAUAAGGACUCUGCUAGGAAUACUACUAGGUGAGGUGCAGUGGGACUGCAGGCCCCUCCAGGGCACACCAAAGACCUGUACUCCCCAUCACAAGGUGGGAAAAUAAAGUUGUGUACCCCCAUGAGAAGAAAGUGAUUGCACAUCAUCAUAAGAAUGGCUUAGCCUCCAAGAACUGAAAAAUGCAGUCUCUGGUGAGAGAAGAAAGGUCAAAGAUCUGUCAACUUAAACAGGCACAAAAUGAUCUACUGGGUGACAUUUUUUUUUCCUUUCCCUCACGGCCAUGUGGCUCUUUUCUCAUUCUCAAUGAGUGUCACAGCCUGACAUCUACCCCCCACAAAUCAAAAGCUGCACUAAUAAAUAUCUUUUCAGCUGGCAACUUCGAUGGACAUAAAAAUCAUUAACAAUGGUAAAUGGUUUCCAUCUCAGUUACUUUGUCAUUACAGGUUCGUUAGAUGUAUCCAGAAUAGAAAUGGCAGCACAGUUUCGCUACUUUAAGAGUGAAAAGAACUACAAGAGUAGUGGUUUUUAACCCCUGAGAAUCUGAGUUACUUUGGGAAAUGCGGAGGACUUCUGAGGCAGGCAAAAUACCUCCACGGGCACCAGCAGGGAGAGCUAUGGUCAGGAGCAACUCCUCUGCCUCCUUUUUAGAUCUGCGGAAUGUACUCCUCCAUUCCCAGCCUCAGACUUCCUCAGGGGGCUGGGACUUGGACAUACACCCUCCCCUACGCAACCAUUUGGGAUUGUAAUCUUCUGGUCACGCAAACAGUCCCUCCUCUCCCCUUACAUUCAUUGGUGCAAGAGCUAGAAUGUUGGCUGUCCUUGCCCAAGUGCCUAAGGGAGGUUAAGCAGCUUCCUGUGCUUUCUCAUUCCUUGGAAAUUUGCAUAGAAGCUGCCAGAAUCUGGCCUUAUGCACUGAUAUUUACGCAUAUGGCAGCUGUUUUCCUACAGUUAAUUUAUUGCUCUCUUCAUUUUUUCCCCAUAGACGUCUUUUCCUGUGUUUUUGCAACUUCAAGGUGCCCUGUGUAGGUAAAUGGAAUUAGGGUUUGUGCCCUAUUUAUGUUUUGAUUUUGAGUGGCACUGUAUCACCAAAAAGAGGAUCAGUCCCCGGUUCUAGGCACCUUGCUUCUUUACUGAAAGGUUCUGGGUUUUUUAAUUUCUUUUCCUGUAUAUGUUUGACCUUGGAAAGUGUAUUUACCUCCUUCUUGUAAACUUGCUUAACGUAAUUAUUAAAGAGUUAAUGAAUUUGGACAAACCACA
Molecule: long non-coding RNA, 4786 nt
Organism: Chelonia mydas (Green sea turtle)
Lineage: Eukaryota; Metazoa; Chordata; Testudines; Cheloniidae
Exons: 5
Source: RefSeq, a predicted model, not a curated record